AAAAAGAACCUGAAACCGUGUACGUACAAGCAGUGGGAGCACAGGUUUACCUGUGUGACUGCGUACCUUUUGUAUAAUGGGUCAGCGACUUAUAUUCUGUAGCAAGGUUAACCGUAUAGGGGAGCCGGAGGGAAACCGAGUCUUAACCGGGCGUUAAGUUGCAGGGUAUAGACCCGAAACCCGGUGAUCUAGCCAUGGGCAGGUUGAAGGUUGGGUAACACUAACUGGAGGACCGAACCGACUAAUGUUGAAAAA
RNAcentral lists this ribosomal RNA (255 nucleotides) under Salmonella enterica. RNAcentral describes it as "partial 23S ribosomal RNA". It matches the Rfam family "Bacterial large subunit ribosomal RNA", at positions 541 to 796 of the family's 2925-position model. RNAcentral also lists the same sequence under 6 other names. The record is from RNAcentral. Lineage: Bacteria; Pseudomonadati; Pseudomonadota; Gammaproteobacteria; Enterobacterales; Enterobacteriaceae.